UAAGGAGUAUUGGACAAUGGAGGCAACUCUGAUCCAGCCAUGCCGCGUGAAGGAAUAAGGCCCUAUGGGUUGUAAACUUCUUUUAGACGGGACAAAACCCCUUUACGUGUAAAGGGUUGAUGGUACUGUCAGAAUAAGCACCGGCUAACUCCGUGCCAGCAGCCGCGGUAAUACGGAGGGUGCAAGCGUUAUCCGGAUUCACUGGGUUUAAAGGGUGCGUAGGUGGGCAGGUAAGUCAGUGGUGAAAUCUCCGGGCUUAACCCGGAAACUGCCGUUGAUACUAUUUGUCUUGAAUAUUGUGGAGGUAAGCGGAAUAUGUCAUGUAGCGGUGAAAUGCUUAGAUAUGACAUAGAACACCAAUUGCGAAGGCAGCUUACUACACAAUCAUUGACGCUGAGGCACGAAAGCGUGGGGAUCAAACA
RNAcentral lists this ribosomal RNA (422 nucleotides) under uncultured bacterium. Its description in RNAcentral is "bacterial SSU rRNA". It matches the Rfam family "Bacterial small subunit ribosomal RNA", at positions 355 to 774 of the family's 1533-position model. The record is from RNAcentral.